Non-coding RNA from Pimephales promelas (fathead minnow), 942 nucleotides. Lineage: Eukaryota; Metazoa; Chordata; Actinopteri; Cypriniformes; Leuciscidae. The record is from RefSeq and is a predicted model, not a curated record.
CCCGACCUCACACCAGUAAACAUCUCAGAGAAGAGAAGAGGCGCUGCAAGAGUUUAAACCCUGGACAGACUUGUCACUGCACCUGAACAUCAUAUCCUGGAGAAGCCUUUCCAAAAGAUCCUGGUUUGAUCUUCAUGCCUUUGAAUGUGCCAGCUAUUAAAACCUGGGAGAAAAAACAGAGGAAUGACUAUAUUGUGUGUGACAGCACACAAGGCUAAGAUGUCCAGUCCAGUGAGUUCUUUCCAUUUCCACAUCACCUCUGGGUUAAUGGGCUCUCCUGCACACAGACAGUGCUCAAGAGCAGGGAACUUAUACCUGCCAGAAACCACAGGCAAAGAUGAGGAUUACACCUGGACCAGACAUAUUCAUCUGGAUUCCAAGUCCGGGAUAAGGCCUCAGUCAUUUACUAGCCAGUGCUGAUCAGUCAUAAAUUCAGCCCACUGACCCUUGGAAUGAUGUCACAAACCUGCCGUUCACCGUGAGUCCAAGACCGUAACUACAGUGGCUUUGUUGGGUCAUUUUUGGAGAGCCGGUUGUGCCACUAGUGAAGAAGAUAGUCAUGGCCUCCUCACUCCUGGUGUCCACGCAAACAUGAUCAUCUGACACUCUUCUACAACGCAAACAAAACAUCUGUUCUGUCAGGUUGCCCCAGCCAUGCAUGGCCCUGCGGGAUAGCAGAAGCUUGGUGGAGAUGGAAGGGCAUUCUGAGGCUACUGUGUCCAAGAGUGGGGCCAAAGUUUCAUCUGUGAUUACACACUUGGCCCCAGACGACUGCAGCCGGUGGCGGAUAUCUCGAGCCGUGAGCUGAGAGGUGCCGGGGAUCAGAACCGUACCUGUGUGAGGAAAUGGGCAGGUCUGUAAGACUGUACCUGUUCUGAGACAUGCUACAUUAACCAGCCACCACUCAGGGACUCGGGGUAAAAUGAGGAACACACGAUCCCC